RNAcentral lists this long non-coding RNA (261 nucleotides) under Hordeum vulgare. RNAcentral's name for it is "long non-coding RNA (HVUL_LNC020597)". The record is from RNAcentral. Lineage: Eukaryota; Viridiplantae; Streptophyta; Magnoliopsida; Poales; Poaceae.
GCACAAGGUGUUUAAGCUGAUUUGGAUGGAGUUAUUCACUUUCUUCGACUACUGGAGGGAAUUUGGCUCAAGGUGGAGAUUGUUAAAUUGUGAUUCAAAUUCUAUCGUAUUGGACUAGACGUAGUACAAACGGUGUGGGCCUUUGCGUUGGUACCGACGCGUACGAGUACAACUCGUUUACUUGUCCUCCAAGGACUCUCAUGUAUUGCCCCUCAUAUAUACUCCAUGUAGUCGCACCUAAAGACGGCCUGUCGUCUCGUG